RNAcentral lists this unclassified non-coding RNA (3278 nucleotides) under Leishmania donovani. Its description in RNAcentral is "gene:LdHU3.36.5830(CDS-product:hypothetical_prote in_conserved)". Lineage: Eukaryota; Euglenozoa; Kinetoplastea; Trypanosomatida; Trypanosomatidae. The record is from RNAcentral.
AACACGUGCACGCUGAGCAUGUCUUUCAGGGCAAUACCGCGGCGUCUGGCAGGACCCGCUAUCCAUGGCCGCGCACAGGCAGCCGCCCUCUCGUCCUCGGCGAAGAAAGAUCAGCAACAGAUGGCACCGCUGCUUCAGUUCCCUCAGUUCCAUCCCAUCCCUUUUCCACAAGACAAGUUUCUCUCCAUCAAGUCCCGCUCCCUCGAAACGUACACAAAGGUGCGCGGCGACGUGCUGCAGCGGUGCGCCGAUCUAUGUGCGCAGCUGCAGCGUCGGCAAAAGCAGGCAGGGCAGAGCGGAAGGGGGACGACCGCUGUAGCAGGGCCUGUUGGAGAGGAGACGUCCUCCUCACCGGCCGCCGGCAUAUCGGCGGAGCUGCCGGCCUACCCGUUGACACCCCACCAAGCAGAGGAGCUUCUUCUCUUGACAAAGAAAGUGGAGGACCUCGUCCACUACCAGGGGUUUCUCCUCACAGACGAGCUUGUCUGGCGCAUGUUGCAUCUAUGCAUACAAUGUGGUGCGCCCCAGCUAGCGGUGGACGGGUGGCUGCAGAAGCAUGUAAUCGCUGAGAAGCGUGGCCCGCCCUUCCCGCUCUUUAUCCUCGAGGACUUGGCAGCCACGCUACGCGCCUCCCUACUGCCGCGGCUUCCCGAGAGCGGGGCAAGCCUGGCAUGCAGUAGUGCUGUAAUAGCAACGAGUGCUGGCAGCACAGACGCGAAUCUGAGUAUCGCCUUUGAGGAUGGCCUUGCGGCGGCGCAGCGAUUCCUUCGGCGCCAUCUCCUCCACUCCGGCUGGCCGACAUCUGACGCGGUAACGACUGAGUUCCUUGGCGCGGCCCAAAGGUUCACGACGCACUUGUUGGCGGAGCACGUGUGGCCUGUGUGGCAGGCAUUGGAGGCGAUGAACUUGACGUUCGCCGAUCUACGGGCCAAGAAUAUCGAGGACGAGGAGGAGCAAGAGGCGGCGAACGAUGAGGGAGGGAGCAAGAAGAAACCAGACCGAGGCUCAAGUCACAUGCGCAGAGGAGAGCACGGCACGUAUGCCGCCUGGCUGCCUGACGCGGCUGCACAGACCGUAGCCGUGCGCUCCGCCCUCAUGUCGGUGACGCCGCUCUACUCGUUCCACGCGCCCCCGUCCUCAGCACCGCCUCCCAGCGUUGCCGAGGGCCGGAGAGACUCGUCAAAGUCUGCCAAUACAGCGAGCACACGCGUACACGCGCUUCUCUGCAGUGAUCCGCCAUUCUUCCCGAGCGAGACGGCCGCCAUCGUUGCGCCACUGCGAGCGCUCUUGGAUACGUGGCUGGUUUUGGCCCAGUGCGCGGCCGAGGCGAAGGAUGUGCCGCUGCUGAAGGCACUGCUGCGCACCGUGUGUCUCGGCUUUCUCACGCAUCCGGCGGCGGCCACCGGUGGCGAGCGCGAUGCAGCGGAAACGGAGGACGGAGUGCAACUGCCCCAAGUGUGCGUGAACGAAGAUGCGUGGUGCCAGUACACGGCCCCUGACACGGAGCAGACCAAAGAUCCGGUGCACCAGCGCUCUGCGGAGCUGCACGCUCGCGCAAUGGUGCGCGAGUUUGUUAACGGCAGCCUUUCUGUACUUCAGUACGGACUGCUGUGUGCAGAGCAGGAGGCAGCCCUCUGGCAACUGCAUGACACGUUCGCGUUGAUUUCGGCUGUCGCCGCUUCGUUGCGCAACCUUCAGGAUCCACAAAAGAAGCGAGGCAGUCGCUCAGCCAUCACUGAUGAUGCUAGGCUGCAUCGUAUGUCUGCUGUGGCGCUUGCGCAGCCUUCAUCAGCUGAGGAGGCAGAUGGCCUACUGCGUUUGGCACUGCCAUGUGCGCUCGUGUCGUCUUGCGCGCGAGGACAGCAAGUCGCAGGUGACGGGGAGCACGCGAGUGCCACGACGGCGAUGCACGCCUUUGUCUGCGAUGCUCUCGCACACCCUGCGGAGAGGACAGCGCACCCAUACGCCGAAGCAGGGUUGUAUGUCGCUCUCGCUACUGGUGACGAGGCGCUGCUGGCCCAAGCUGCCACCGCCGAUAUGGCAAUGAACAACUCGGGGGCGGCGCUGCUUCUGCUCCACGCACGCGCGCUGCAUGCAUACCGGCGAGCUGCCACGAGGCUCGCCACCGCGCAUGAGGGGCACGAAGAGGAAGCACCCGAAGAUGACGCUUGGGAGGCGUGGACGGCAUCGUUGCGGCAAGCGGUGUCGCAGGCCACCAGUGGAAGUGGUGACGCGGGCAUACCGCAGGCGCAGCUUGUUGAAACCUGUCUGACAGUUCUCACCCUGGGCGUCGCGAGACGCCAGGCACAGCGAGCAGCUGCCUAUGUGCAGUGCGUUCAGCAGCUCACAACGACAUCGGCCGCGGAGGAGAGCGACGACACGCAGGGUGAUGGCCAUAACUCUUACGGCAAGGCAGAGGCAGAGAAGCAGCGUCGGGAGGCGAUCGAGGUGGGUUGGGCGCAACUCUAUGAUGGCACGGCUGCUUGUACGCAGGACAUGCUGAAGCUAGUGGAGCAACUGUUGGAUGCCUCGUCCUCAGCCGAUGCCACGGUUUCGUGCCUGUCUCCAUUAUCGCUGAGUACCCUCGCUGUACUGACUCGCGUGGGAGUCUACGCGGAGGAAGAGGCACAGGCAAGGACAGCGUCGGCAUCGACCACGAGCGAGGAUCUUUCAAAACCUGCUGGGGUCGCUCCGCCUCCUCUGCCUCUCAGCAUCUCUCUCGACUGUGUCUUGGCGCGGGUGGUGAGAGACACAUGCAUUCGUCUGCGCUGUGCCUCGGCCGCAUCACCGACUGGUGUAGCACCGGCGGCCACGUCUAGCGUUGUUGGAAACUGGGUACAGUGGGUGCUGCUAACGCUGAUGGCCCGGAGAGCAUGGACCGACGUGCUUGCGGUGCUGCGUGCGCUGGAUGGCGAGGCGAGUGGGGGAAGUGCUGCGAAUGCGGCUGGAACUUCGAGCACGCUCCUCUGCAGUACCACGGUUGAUCCCUCCGUGUUCGCCGCGUUGUAUGCACGCGCCGUGGAGGAUGGCGCUGCGAGCGUUUGCGCCUUUCUGCGCCCCCGGCGUGAGCGGCUGUUCUUCUGAGUGGCGUUGUUAGACAACGACUCGCGUUGCUCAACGCGCAAAGAAGCGCGCGCCCUUGCGCACUGUUGCCAAUGUGUGCACCUCCAGGAGACUUCCCGUUCUCCUGUUGACGUUGGCCCAGUCGGACGGCGGAGGAAGAAGAAGGUAGAAGACAGCGUCCUGACAACGAAGCUCAAGAGUAAGAUGGGCGCCUC